RNAcentral lists this transfer RNA (73 nucleotides) under Stegodyphus dumicola. RNAcentral describes it as "tRNA-Thr". It matches the Rfam family "tRNA". Rfam says of the family: Transfer RNA (tRNA) molecules are approximately 80 nucleotides in length. Their secondary structure includes four short double-helical elements and three loops (D, anti-codon, and T loops). Further hydrogen bonds mediate the characteristic L-shaped molecular structure. tRNAs have two regions of fundamental functional importance: the anti-codon, which is responsible for specific mRNA codon recognition, and the 3' end, to which the tRNAs corresponding amino acid is attached (by aminoacyl-tRNA synthetases). tRNAs cope with the degeneracy of the genetic code in two manners: having more than one tRNA (with a specific anti-codon) for a particular amino acid; and 'wobble' base-pairing, i.e. permitting non-standard base-pairing at the 3rd anti-codon position. Lineage: Eukaryota; Metazoa; Arthropoda; Arachnida; Araneae; Eresidae. The record is from RNAcentral.
GCCUUCGUGGUGUAGUGGUCAGCACGCUCGACGCGUAUUCGAGAGGUCCGUGGUUCGAGUCCCGGUGAAGGCA